RNAcentral lists this ribosomal RNA (647 nucleotides) under uncultured archaeon. RNAcentral's name for it is "bacterial SSU rRNA". It matches the Rfam family "Archaeal small subunit ribosomal RNA", at positions 833 to 1478 of the family's 1478-position model. The record is from RNAcentral.
GAGUACGGCCGCAAGGCUGAAACUUAAAGGAAUUGGCGGGGGAGCACUACAACGGGUGGAGCCUGCGGUUUAAUUGGACUCAACGCCGGAAAACCCACCGGGGGCGACAGCAAUAUGUAGGUCAGGUUAAAGGUCUUACCUGAAUCGCUGAGAGGGGGUGCAUGGCCGUCGUCAGUUCGUACUGUGAAGCAUCCUGUUAAGUCAGGCAACGAGCAAGACCCGUGCCCACUGUUACCAGCAUAUCCUUUAUGGAUGAUGGGGACUCUGUGGGGACCGCUGCUGCUAAAGCAGAGGAAGGUGCGGGCUACGGUAGGUCAGUAUGCCCCGAAUCUCCCGGGCUACACGCGGGCUACAAUGGUUGGGACAAUGGGUAUCUACUCCGAAAGGAGUUGGCAAUCUCUUAAACCCAAUCGUAGUUCGAAUUGGGGGCUGUAACUCGCCCUCAUGAAGCUGGAAUCCGUAGUAAUCGCGUUUCAACAUAGCGCGGUGAAUCUGUCCCUGCUCCUUGCACACACCGCCCGUCAAACCAUCCGAGUGAGGUAUGGGUGAGGGCACGAACUUAGUGUCGUGCUCGAACCUAAAUUUCGCAAGGAGGGUUAAGUCGUAACAAGGUAGCCGUAGGGGAAUCUGCGGCUGGAUCACCUCCU